AAGUCGUAACAAGGUCUCCGUAGGUGAACCUGGGAGGGAUCGAUUACAUGAGCUCAUGCCCUAAUCGGGCUACGGUAUCUCCCACCCCUAUGUUAUCAUUACCAUGUUGCUUUGGCGGGCCGUCAGGCUCACGCUCGGCUACCGGCUCCGGCUGGUAAGCGCCCGCCAGAGGACCUCAAACCCUGAAUAUUCGUGUCGUCUGAGUAUCAUAUAAUAGUUAAAAC
RNAcentral lists this unclassified non-coding RNA (224 nucleotides) under plant metagenome. Its description in RNAcentral is "partial contains small subunit ribosomal RNA and internal transcribed spacer 1". The record is from RNAcentral.